This 333-nucleotide unclassified non-coding RNA is filed under the name soil metagenome. RNAcentral's name for it is "partial contains 5.8S ribosomal RNA, internal transcribed spacer 2, and large subunit ribosomal RNA". The stretch from base 1 to 120 matches the Rfam family "5.8S ribosomal RNA", at positions 35 to 154 of the family's 154-position model. The record is from RNAcentral.
GAUGAAGAACGCAGCGAAAUGCGAUAACUAAUGUGAAUUGCAGAAUUCAGUGAAUCAUCGAAUCUUUGAACGCACAUUGCGCCCCGUGGUAUUCCGCGGGGCAUGCCUGUUCGAGCGUCAUUACACCACUCAAGCCUCGCUUGGUAUUGGGCGACGCGGUACGCCGCGCGCCUCAAAUCUUCCGGCUGGUUCGAAUCGUCCCUCAGCGUUGUGGAAACUAUUCGCUAAAGGUGCGCGUUUCGGUCACGCCGUUAAACAAGCCAAUUUCAUUAAAGGUUGACCUCGGAUCAGGUAGGGAUACCCGCUGAACUUAAGCAUAUCAAAAGCGGAGGA